RNAcentral lists this ribosomal RNA (253 nucleotides) under uncultured bacterium. Its description in RNAcentral is "partial 16S ribosomal RNA". It matches the Rfam family "Bacterial small subunit ribosomal RNA", at positions 524 to 776 of the family's 1533-position model. The record is from RNAcentral.
UACGUAGGGGGCAAGCGUUGUCCGGAAUCAUUGGGCGUAAAGCGCGCGUAGGCGGUUACUUAAGUCGGAUGUGAAAGCCCUCGGCUUAACUGAGGAAGUGCACCCGAAACUGAGUAGCUAGAGUACGAAAGAGGGUCGCGGAAUUCCCGGUGUAGAGGUGAAAUUCGUAGAUAUCGGGAGGAACACCGGUGGCGAAGGCGGCGACCUGGGUCGAGACUGACGCUGAGGCGCGAAAGCGUGGGGAGCAAACAGG